RNAcentral lists this ribosomal RNA (253 nucleotides) under uncultured bacterium. Its description in RNAcentral is "partial 16S ribosomal RNA". It matches the Rfam family "Bacterial small subunit ribosomal RNA", at positions 524 to 776 of the family's 1533-position model. The record is from RNAcentral.
UACGGAGGGAGCUAGCGUUGUUCGGAAUUACUGGGCGUAAAGCGCACGUAGGCGGAUUUGUAAGUCAGGGGUGAAAUCCUGGAGCUCAACUCCAGAACUGCCUUUGAUACUGGCAACCUAGAGACUGGAAGAGGUUAGUGGAAUUCCCAGUGUAGAGGUGAAAUUCGUAGAUAUCGGGAGGAACACCAGUGGCGAAGGCGAUCACCUGGGGAUGUUCUGACGCUGAGGAGCGAAAGCUAGGGGAGCAAACGGG